Molecule: transfer RNA, 65 nt
Filed under: Episymploce sundaica
Lineage: Eukaryota; Metazoa; Arthropoda; Insecta; Blattodea; Blattellidae
Description: tRNA-Asp
Source: RNAcentral
GAAGAAUUAGUUAAAUAAUAACAUUAGAAUGUCAAACUAAAAUUAUCAAAUUUUGAUAUUCUUCU